GGUGUAGCUCAGUGGUAGUGUGCAUGCUUUGUAUGUAUGAUGUCCUGGGGUCAAUUCCCAGCUUCUCCC
Molecule: transfer RNA, 69 nt
Filed under: Dallia pectoralis (Alaska blackfish)
Lineage: Eukaryota; Metazoa; Chordata; Actinopteri; Esociformes; Umbridae
Description: tRNA-Thr
Rfam family: tRNA
About the family: Transfer RNA (tRNA) molecules are approximately 80 nucleotides in length.
Source: RNAcentral